GAUGAACGCUAGCGGCAGGCUUAACACAUGCAAGUCGAGGGGCAGCGCGGGGUAGCAAUACUCUGGCGGCGACCGGCGGAAGGGUGCGUAACGCGUGAGCAACUUGCCCGUCACAGGGGGAUAACCGGUGGAAACGCCGACUAACACCCCGUAACACAUUUCGCCGCAUGGCGUGAUGUUGAAAACUCCGGUGGUGGCGGAUAGGCUCGCGUGCCAUUAGCUAGUCGGCGGGGCAACGGCCCACCGAGGCGACGAUGGCUAGGGGUUCUGAGAGGAAGGCCCCCCACACUGGGACUGAGACACGGCCCAGACUCCUACGGGAGGCAGCAGUGAGGAAUAUUGGUCAAUGGACGAGAGUCUGAACCAGCCAAGUAGCGUGCAGGAUGACGGCCCUAUGGGUUGUAAACUGCUUUUANAAGGGAAUAAAGUUAGUCUCGUGAGACUUUUUGCAUGUACCUUAUGAAUAAGGACCGGCUAAUUCCGUG
RNAcentral lists this ribosomal RNA (485 nucleotides) under uncultured bacterium. RNAcentral describes it as "bacterial SSU rRNA". It matches the Rfam family "Bacterial small subunit ribosomal RNA", at positions 28 to 507 of the family's 1533-position model. The record is from RNAcentral.